GGGAUGGGGCUGCCCCCAGGAACCAAGUGGGCCCUGCACUGGAGCCUGUCCUCACCUUUCAGAACUUGCACCGGUCCGUUCCAGCACAGAGGUGGGAGCAAACACUGGCACGGGGGAUCAGGACAGGCAAGCAAAUUGUGCUAGUGUGCAGGUGCCCACCGAAGGGAAGCAGAAUUCCUUACAGUGAGAUUUCAGAAUAAUUGGAAGUGAUCUUUCCUGGCCAACACAGUGUUUCAGGCCCUGUUACUAUAUCAUAUAGAAUGAUAUAACGAGGACAUGAUUAUUUUUAUUAUUAACAUAUAUAACUUAUGCAACACCUCCUUCCUUAAAA
Molecule: long non-coding RNA, 331 nt
Organism: Oxyura jamaicensis (ruddy duck)
Lineage: Eukaryota; Metazoa; Chordata; Aves; Anseriformes; Anatidae
Exons: 2
Source: RefSeq, a predicted model, not a curated record